Molecule: ribosomal RNA, 253 nt
Filed under: uncultured bacterium
Lineage: Bacteria
Description: partial 16S ribosomal RNA
Rfam family: Bacterial small subunit ribosomal RNA
Source: RNAcentral
UACGGGGGGGGCAAGCGUUGUUCGGAAUUACUGGGCGUAAAGGGCUCGUAGGCGGCCAACUAAGUCAGACGUGAAAUCCCCAGGCUCAACCUGGGAACUGCGUCUGAUACUGGAUGGCUUGAAUCCGGGAGAGGGAUGCAGAAUUCCAGGUGUAGCGGUGAAAUGCGUAGAUAUCUGGAGGAAUACCGGUGGCGAAGGCGGCAUCCUGGACCGGCAUUGACGCUGAGAGGCGAAAGCAUGGGGAGCGAACAGG